This is a long non-coding RNA of Sinocyclocheilus grahami, 1785 nucleotides long. NCBI's taxonomy places the organism in Eukaryota, Metazoa, Chordata, Actinopteri, Cypriniformes, Cyprinidae. The record is from Ensembl.
GAAAUGUGGUGUGAAAGCAGUCCUUUUUCAGUCUUCACUCUUUAGACUGUUCUGUCGUCCGUAAAGCUGCUUUUUAUUUUCUGCACUGCGCUCUACUCCUCUUUCUGUAUCUGCUUCUCUUUGUUAUAAACUUUUUUCGUAACAUUUUCUAGCUUUAUUUCAUUGCUCUGUCAGUUUGUUUCUGUUUCAAUCCGUUCAUGGCUUGUUUUUAAUCGCCCCUCAGAUAGUUUUAUUCAUGGGAGUUUAAGACAAAGGGAAACGUCCUCAUUUUGGCACCUCUAAGGGGAGUCAGAACUGCAGCCAAGGACCCUGCUGAGAUCCAAAAAACCCCAGCACAGCGAAGCGCCAAAAAAAAAAAAGAAAAAAGAAAACACCACCCUUUCCUUUGCAUGGUCACAAAUUCCACUCUCCUUGUAGCCAGGGCAGUGCCGCAGCUCCUCCUCGACCACAUCUCACCGCGUUCGACCUUUCCGCCUUCUCUUCUCAGUCUUCCACAGAACCUUUUCUGACCCAUUUUUGAGGGUUUUCGAUUUUUCCACGAUUUUUUUGUGGGCAACGGAAUUGGCCUAGUCUGCACCCUAAGCCUGACUCCAUAUUGCCGCCAGGUGUAGGCUGACUCCGGUAUGGACAUCGAACUGGUCAGCACCAUAGACAGAAGUCCUCCACUGUUUCGGCGAGGGCAUACAGGCACCCCUCCUCUCCUCUGCAGUGUGCCACAGUGCUGGAUGAAGACUAUUGUUCUGGUGCCCUCGUCUUCCUCUGGCACCACACUUCACCCACCACACCAGCCCACCUCGUCAAACAAAUGGCUUUCAACCUACUUUCCUAUAACAGAAAACAGAGCAGAGUGGAGUCAGCAUUCACAGUCAGAGGCAGGCACAAGCACCAGAUAAACGCCCCCUUUAAAUGUGUGUAUACUGUAUGUACAUGUGAGUGUGUGUCAAGUGCUUCUUUCUGUCAUUUUUUCACAAUGCACUGAGUAGAUGGUCCAGAUGGAAUCUGCAGUCGGUUUUCACAUUUUCAGUACAGAUUUUUUGCUGAAAAUAUGCGCAAUUCUGUGUAAUGGAUUUAAACAUGGCAAAAUGUGGUAAAUUGAUCUGAAAAUACUCCAUUAGUAUUCUUGGUAUCUAAAUGGAUAUUCGUAUUAGCCAAAUUAUUUAGUAAACAUACAAAGAACAGGAAAUGUGAACAAAUUAGUGAAAGAUGUUACAUUUCUGUGUAAAUGUGCAGAUUGCAUGUGGGCCUAGAAAUCAGCAUUCUGUGCAAUAUAGUGUCUCUACAGAGCUAUUUAUAUGUCAUUCUUCUGAAAGCUGUUUGAUUUCAUCUUUUAAAUGUGUAUGAUCUGUUUAUAUUUUCUGUUUUUCUUUUUCCUAUUUAUAUGUAUUUUACGUCUGUCCUCUGUAUCAUCCCUCCUGCCACUCACUCCUUUUGCCAGCCACAAGCACUGAGAAUAUUCCUCCUUUCUCUCUCUCUCUCUCUCUCUCUCCUUCUCUCUUGCUCCCUCUAUUUCCCCCCUUCCCAACCCUCUCUCUGCCAACUAAAGCCCAUUCAUAAUGAAUGGCAAGGUACGAUAAUAGCCUUUCGGUUGCUAUAGUAACCAGACAGGAGCUCUGUUCGUGCUGUAUUUUUUGUCCUUUAUUUUUUAUUUUUUCCAAGGGGGCAAAUGGCAGUGGAAUGUGGGGCGAAACCCUCCCUUUCACUUUCACUUUCCCUCAUUCUUUUUCUCAUACACUCACAGCAGAUUCCCUCUGUUCUUUCAUAUUUGUCUGUCCUCCUCUACAUCCU